UAUUUUAGUCUUGUUAGAGGAACCUGUUUUAUAAUCGAUAAACCACGUAUAUUUCACUUAUUUUAAAUAACUUGUAUACCGUCAUUAUUAGAUAACUUUCAAAAAAUUAGUUAUUAAAAUUAAAUAAAAUUAAAUAUAUUAGAUCAAGGUGCAGUUUAUAAAUAAGAAAAAAUGGGUUACAAUAAAAUUUAUCUAAAACGAAUUAUAUAAAUGUAAAAAUAUAUGAAGGAGGAUUUAAUUGUAAUUUUUUUUUAUAAGAUAAUAAUAUGAUAAUAGCUCUAAAAUAU
RNAcentral lists this ribosomal RNA (287 nucleotides) under Aegla prado. RNAcentral's name for it is "partial 12S small subunit ribosomal RNA". Lineage: Eukaryota; Metazoa; Arthropoda; Malacostraca; Decapoda; Aeglidae. The record is from RNAcentral.